GAUCUUGGCUCAGGAUGAACGCUAGCUACAGGCUUAACACAUGCAAGUCGAGGGGCAGCAUGGUCUUAGCUUGCUAAGGCUGAUGGCGACCGGCGCACGGGUGAGUAACACGUAUCCAACCUGCCGUCUACUCUUGGCCAGCCUUCUGAAAGGAAGAUUAAUCCAGGAUGGGAUCAUGAGUUCACAUGUCCGCAUAACUAAAGGUAUUUUCCGGUAGACGAUGGGG
Molecule: ribosomal RNA, 226 nt
Filed under: uncultured bacterium
Lineage: Bacteria
Description: partial 16S ribosomal RNA
Rfam family: Bacterial small subunit ribosomal RNA
Source: RNAcentral